RNAcentral lists this ribosomal RNA (253 nucleotides) under uncultured bacterium. RNAcentral describes it as "partial 16S ribosomal RNA". It matches the Rfam family "Bacterial small subunit ribosomal RNA", at positions 524 to 776 of the family's 1533-position model. The record is from RNAcentral.
UACGUAGGGUGCGAGCGUUGUCCGGAAUUACUGGGCGUAAAGAGCUCGUAGGUGGUUUGUCGCGUUGUCCGUGAAAACUCACAGCUCAACUGUGGGCGUGCGGGCGAUACGGGCAGACUGGAGUACUGCAGGGGAGACUGGAAUUCCUGGUGUAGCGGUGGAAUGCGCAGAUAUCAGGAGGAACACCGGUGGCGAAGGCGGCUCUCUAGUACGGUACUGACGCUGAGACGCGAAAGCGUGGGGAGCGAACAGG